RNAcentral lists this ribosomal RNA (460 nucleotides) under uncultured bacterium. Its description in RNAcentral is "partial 16S ribosomal RNA". It matches the Rfam family "Bacterial small subunit ribosomal RNA", at positions 338 to 795 of the family's 1533-position model. The record is from RNAcentral.
CCUACGGGGGGCAGCAGUGAGGAAUAUUGGUCAAUGGACGAGAGUCUGAACCAGCCAAGUAGCGUGAAGGAUGACUGCCCUAUGGGUUGUAAACUUCUUUUAUAUGGGAAUAAAAUGUUCCACGUGUGGGAUUUUGUAUGUACCAUAUGAAUAAGGAUCGGCUAACUCCGUGCCAGCAGCCGCGGUAAUACGGAGGAUCCGAGCGUUAUCCGGAUUUAUUGGGUUUAAAGGGAGCGUAGGUGGAUUGUUAAGUCAGUUGUGAAAGUUUGCGGCUCAACCGUAAAAUUGCAGUUGAAACUGGGAGUCUUGAGUACAGUAGAGGUGGGCGGAAUUCGUGGUGUAGCGGUGAAAUGCUUAGAUAUCACGAAGAACUCCGAUGGCGAAGGCAGCUCACUGGACUGCAACUGACACUGAGGCUCGAAAGUGUGGGUAUCAAACAGGAUUAGAUACCCUAGUAGUC